CAGUAGCCACGGUAAGACAGGGGAUGCGAGUGUUAUCCGGAAUUAUUGGGCGUAAAGCGUCUGUAGGUUGAAUUCAAAGUCUUUUGUAAAAUCUUUAAGCUCAACUUAAAAACCGCAAAAGAUACUAGUUUUCUUGAGUAUGGUAGAGGUAAAGGGAAUUUCCAGUGGAGCGGUGAAAUGCGUAGAGAUUGGAAGGAACACCAAAAGCGAAGGCACUUUACUGGGCCAUUACUGACACUGAGAGACGAAAGCUAAGGGAGCAAACGGGAUUAGAUACCCGUGUAGUCCCUGUCUCUUAUAU
RNAcentral lists this ribosomal RNA (301 nucleotides) under uncultured bacterium. RNAcentral describes it as "partial 16S ribosomal RNA". It matches the Rfam family "Bacterial small subunit ribosomal RNA", at positions 509 to 809 of the family's 1533-position model. The record is from RNAcentral.